This 76-nucleotide small RNA is filed under the name Flavobacterium glaciei. RNAcentral describes it as "Flavo-1 RNA". It matches the Rfam family "Flavo-1 RNA". The record is from RNAcentral. Lineage: Bacteria; Pseudomonadati; Bacteroidota; Flavobacteriia; Flavobacteriales; Flavobacteriaceae.
AUCUAGCCCUGAUGGAAACGGCAUCCUUUUGCUUUUUCUUUAGAAGCAAAAGAUACAGUGAACAGCAGGACAAUAU